UGCGUGUGUUUGCAUGCUAGGCAAUGUGGUGUUAAGGUGUGUACCUGAGAUCGUGUACCUACCCGAAGUCUAAAUCCGAUUGUGGCUUUGGAUUGGUUCCAUAGCGGGUGAAAGUCCCGUGCGGGUAGGACUAUUGUAAUCACACGGUCUUCAGAUGUGCAUGCUUUCGAGUCGGAUUGCUUGAGAAUGCAGUCCAAAGUGGGUGGUAAACUCCAUCCAAGGCUAAAUACUGGCACGAGUCCGAUAGUAGACAAGUACCAUGAGGGAAAGUUGAAAAGUACUCUGAAGAGAGAGUAAAUAGUACGUGAAGCCGAUUGCAGGGAAGCCGGUGGAGUCAAGCUUCGUGCUUGGGGGAUUGAUGCUGGGAGCAGGUGUGUGAAUUGGAUGCGUGAGUGGUCAACUUGGAAUAAGUUGGGCGUGUUCUGAAUGCGCUUCAAGUCAUUCCGGGUAGUGUGUUUUGGGCCAUUCUCGCUUUCCUACUCUCAGUGUUGUAUUCCCCGCUGCACAGGCCACAGUCGAUAGGUGCAUGCGGUAUGAAGGCCUAACUGUGCUUCGGCGGGCGCAAGCUCUCCGGGUGCAGGAAGGCAGGUGCUGUCUUCAGGCCUUGUGUCUGUUGAUAGUUGUUUUGGUUUUGACCGGCUGGUUUUCAUACUGUAUUGUG
RNAcentral lists this ribosomal RNA (661 nucleotides) under Scutogyrus longicornis. RNAcentral describes it as "partial 28S ribosomal RNA". It matches the Rfam family "Eukaryotic large subunit ribosomal RNA", at positions 120 to 628 of the family's 3401-position model. The record is from RNAcentral. Lineage: Eukaryota; Metazoa; Platyhelminthes; Monogenea; Dactylogyridea; Ancyrocephalidae.